UACGGAGGGUGCAAGCGUUAAUCGGAAUUACUGGGCGUAAAGGGUGCGUAGGUUGUUGUAUAAGUUAACUGUGAAAUCCCUGGGCUCAACCUGGGAAGGUCAGUUAAGACUGUAUGACUCGAGUAUGGGAGAGGGUAGUGGAAUUUCCGGUGUAGCGGUGAAAUGCGUAGAGAUCGGAAGGAACACCAGUGGCGAAGGCGGCUAUCUGGCCCAAUACUGACACUGAGGUACGAAAGCGUGGGGAGCAAACAGG
This 253-nucleotide ribosomal RNA is filed under the name uncultured bacterium. RNAcentral describes it as "partial 16S ribosomal RNA". It matches the Rfam family "Bacterial small subunit ribosomal RNA", at positions 524 to 776 of the family's 1533-position model. The record is from RNAcentral.